GUCCUCUAAAGAGCCGUUCGAGACUAGGACGUUGAUAGGUUGGAUGUGGAAGCAUAGUGAUAUGUGAAGCUGACCAAUACUAAUUGCUCGUGAGGCUUGACUAUACAACACCCAAGCAGUUG
Molecule: ribosomal RNA, 122 nt
Filed under: Acinetobacter baumannii
Lineage: Bacteria; Pseudomonadati; Pseudomonadota; Gammaproteobacteria; Moraxellales; Moraxellaceae
Description: partial 23S ribosomal RNA
Rfam family: Bacterial large subunit ribosomal RNA (bases 1-104)
Source: RNAcentral